RNAcentral lists this long non-coding RNA (925 nucleotides) under Phaseolus vulgaris (common bean). Its description in RNAcentral is "long non-coding RNA (PVUL_LNC004808)". Lineage: Eukaryota; Viridiplantae; Streptophyta; Magnoliopsida; Fabales; Fabaceae. The record is from RNAcentral.
CGUCCGCCCCCACCGCCAGCGGCGCGAAGCCGUUCACCCACGCCUCGUAGUUGGCCUCCAUUGCCGAGAACACCUGCUCGAUCUCUCCCUGCUCGAAUCCCCCGUGGUAGUCCUUGUCGUUCAGAAAUCUGACAAAAUUCAACCAUCGGUAAGACUUCUAAUCACUCUUCUUCAAUCAAUUACUCACUCACACACAUUACUUUCCCCUUUCAAAUCAACACUCUGCAUCAUCAUCUGCAUGCUCCUAACCCCAUUCAAACUACAGGUAUCACUGCUUGGUUGAAUGGGUUGGAGAAAGGUGUUUGAGAUGAAAAGAAAACAAGAUUUUGUGGAAGUGUUGAAAUGGAAAAAAAAGCUGGGUUGAAGUUUGAUGUAGGAAAAGAAGUGGAAUUGAAAGAGGUGGGUUCAUGAUUAGCCCCUCCAUUAUGUAGUUUGAAUCCAAACAUACACCAAUUACACUGAGACCACAGUUUUUUUUUACCUCAAACAACAUAAAUCAGUAUGAAAUUGUCAAGUUCCAUGGAUCAAAGAAGGUUGAGAAAAUAAAAUUUAAUCCAAACAUGAAUACAUACAUACAAGUGGUAACAGAAAUUUGAAGCAGAGAGGAAGCAAAAAUGAAGUAACGGAAGAGGAGAGGGUUUGGUUGGGGUACCUGGGGGAGGCGCCGAUGAGGAUGAGUUUGGAGAAGAGUUCGGGGCGGCGGAUGGAGGCGAGCAUGCCGAUCAUGGCGGAGAUGGAGUGGCCGACGUAGGCGCAGCGGGGGACGCGGAGGGCCUCGAGGAUGUUGAGGAGGUCGUCGACGUAGGCGUCAAGGGUGGUGUAGCGGCGGUAGUCGAAGUGGUCGGGGUUGACGCUGCCGGCGCACACCAGGUCGUAGAGAAUGACGCUGUAGUGGCGCGUGAAGUAGGGGAGCACGCGCUGCCAC